CCUCUCCUCCACCACAGGACCCUCUCCUCCUCCACAGGACCCUCUCCUCCUCCACAGGACCCACUCCUCCACCACGGGACCCGCUCCUCCACCACAGGACCCGCUCCUCCACCACAGGACCCGCUCCUCCACCACAGGACCCGCUCCUCCACCACAGGACCCUCUCCUCUGUAGGUACUGGACCUCUGUAGGUUCUGGACCUCUGUAGGUACUGGACCUCUGGUCCUCUGUAGGUACUGGACCUCUGUAGGUUCUGGACCUCUGUAGGUUCUGGACCUCUGGUCCUCUGUAGGUACUGGACCUCUGUAGGUACUGGACCUCUGGUCCUCUGUAGGUUUUGGACCUCUGGUCC
Long non-coding RNA from Oncorhynchus gorbuscha (pink salmon), 352 nucleotides. RefSeq lists it as uncharacterized. The record is from RefSeq and is a predicted model, not a curated record. The transcript has 3 exons. Lineage: Eukaryota; Metazoa; Chordata; Actinopteri; Salmoniformes; Salmonidae.